This is a long non-coding RNA of Myotis brandtii (Brandt's bat), 279 nucleotides long. RefSeq lists it as uncharacterized. Lineage: Eukaryota; Metazoa; Chordata; Mammalia; Chiroptera; Vespertilionidae. The record is from RefSeq and is a predicted model, not a curated record. The transcript is spliced from 3 exons.
CGGCGGCGGCGGGGGCCGCGGCGCCGGGCUCUCAGCCUCCUCCGCGACGCAGAUCAGCUGUUUUAAUUUUGAUUGCUGUUACUACUGAAACCUGGGCCAAAGUGGUGAUGCUGCCUGAGGGAAAUUUCUGCAACUCCUAAGUCAACACUUACACGUUACCUAGUAACCCUGACUGAUCCUCUUUGAUGGUGAUCAUGUUUUAUUGUGGGAAUAUGUUCAGAAGAAUGGAACUCAUAGGAUGCCAGACUUGAUUCGAGGUCAGGUACAUAAGUUACAAAU